This 255-nucleotide long non-coding RNA is filed under the name Carassius auratus (goldfish). RNAcentral describes it as "lncRNA (ENSCARG00000049257.1)". The record is from RNAcentral. Lineage: Eukaryota; Metazoa; Chordata; Actinopteri; Cypriniformes; Cyprinidae.
AGACAGAGAGAGUUAAGUCCCGGGAGUGUUUCCUCGGCGGGCGAGAGAGAGCAAGACCGAGGAGCUGCGGGAGGCCUAAUACAGGAGUCCAGGAUCGCCGUUUGCUUCACACAUCAAAUUGAGUCUUCAAGGACCUUCCCGGGGUUUAACCAGACGGUUACACGAGCUCCACCAAUCAGAUGCAUCACUGGAUUGUUCAGGAUUGUGGGUAAUGAAGUACUUAGCCAAGACAUCGCGAAUAAAAGGCAUUUAUAU